This 582-nucleotide unclassified non-coding RNA is filed under the name Penaeus chinensis. Its description in RNAcentral is "protein PXR1-like, transcript variant X6". Lineage: Eukaryota; Metazoa; Arthropoda; Malacostraca; Decapoda; Penaeidae. The record is from RNAcentral.
GAGAGCCGCAAGACAUGGUGCAGCAGAGGCCUGAAGGGGUUUCGCCCGCAGACUGGGGCACGAUGAUGAAAGCUCAUAAAAAAAUGAAAAACACCCAGUUGGGGGUUGAUAAGAAGAAGGAGAAGAAGGAUAUUGCACUAUCAUAACUGCCAUUGCACCAUCAUUGCAGCAUGCGAGAAUGAAAAACACCCAAGUGAGAGUUGAUAAGAAGAAGGAGAAGAAGGAGAAGGAGGAGAAGGAGGAGAAGGAGAAGAAAGAAAAGAAGGAGAAGGCCAAGAAGGCGAAGAGAUAACGACAGCAGGCAUAUGGCCGUGUCUACAGUGAUCCCCCACCAAGGCCCUCCUAGCCCCUCGUCUUAAUGAUGUGGAGGAAUUCCCACACCUGGAGAAGUCACCCCUGAGAGCCUCUGCAAAGACACCCAUUCUCAAUUUACCACAUGCAGUUUGAUGACGACAGCAGGCAUAUGGCCGUGUUUACAGGAAGUCCCUCCUUGAUGUCCCCUGCAACGAAAGCCAUUGCACCGGCCACGCCACCAACACUGGCAGGAGUUAAUGCCCCAUUAUCUUCCGUCUUCGGUUUCUG